AUGGUAGACGUGAGGGCCAGCCCCACCAGGAUAUACAGCGUGCACAGCAGCAUGUACUUGGGUUUCUCUGGAAGGACAGAACAUCGGUGGACAAGACAGAUCCCUACUUAGCAGCCCAACAGAGCGAAGGUUCCUUCAGGUAAUUUCACCAAAGGCGGAAAUAAAACAAGUUGCCUCAUUGGUGAGGCUGUGUAUAUAUAAAAAACGGUUCGAUGGCCCAAAUAACUAACUCCUGUGGUUAAUAAUAUCAGAGGUUAAUGAACUGCAAUAUGAACGAAUUAAAUUGUGGGACAGUAACAUAUAUAUAUAUGAGCAUCUGGGUCACUUGCAGAUGGAUUCGGUGUGGUUUGUGACUGCAAAGAUCUACUUAUACACAGAGAAAGCUGAAAGAAGAUUUGUUGACUUUUUACAUCCUACGCACAAGAAUUUGCAUGAUUUAUGGAACGCUAUGAGGUACAGCUUUAUAUUGCAUUGCGUAAGACUGGCUCAUCUUUUGGUCUAAUUUUAAAUCAGUAUGGUAAAAAUAAAGUAAGGUUUCUGUUUCUUUAAAAUAAUACAUGUAGUCAUAAUUGUUUUCUGUAUACGAAAGUUAAAAUAUAUAUAACCCAAAUUGCUGCAGCUUUAACUGGGGGAACCAGAGUGUGUUUAAUGUACAUAUGUUGCCUCAGCUUUUAAGUCUGUAAAUUUCUGCUACAGGACUUUUCGUACUCGAAUAAUAUUAGUUAUAUAACAUAGGUCUAUUUUUACUUUCGGUGUAGCUUCGAACAUGGUACAGACUGAUGGGAGGAAAGACGAACAGACAUAUUUUCCCUCUGAUUCUUCCAUCUUAUGAAACGUACGUUUUUAAGAAAUUUCUCCUUUGCUAUUCGUUAUGUGUUCUUUCAAAACUCACUAGAAGCAGUUCUGAGACAAUGCAGUACGAAUGCGACGAUAAAGUCCUCUCUUCUGGGGCACAACGCCUUGUAGCCCGAUUAAAUUCGCUACCUACCUCAUACUGGUUUCUUGCUUUGCUUCUUCUUCGACCCUGAAAACUGAGGCUCCAUGUUUCUCCGAAACUUCAAUUGACUUUUAUUCACUUUAUUCAUAACCACUGCAGUGAAAACCUCAAAUCCUAGGUAACACGCAAGCCCGAUUCGCGCAGAACCUAUAGAAAACUCAGUGCACUUGUCGAGCCAUCUGAAGCCAUGUAGCUAAAUUUCGUGGCUUCAUAUUUAUUUUACACUGUUAGUCAUAGCCGGCCGAUAUUACGAUCCCCCAUAGAUGGCGACUCUAACGUAGCCUAUAUUACAACAAAAUUUCUCUCUACUCUGUAUAGUAUUUACCUAUUUAUUCUUGUUCUUUACUGGCGCUACAACCCUCUGUGAGUCUUAGCUUCCUCCAUGGGCCUCCUCCGUUAGCUCGGGAGGUUUCGUUAGCCCCACCCAACCCCCAACCUAGAGAACCAGAGAUUACACUUCGUCUGGCCCCUGCCCUUUGGCUGACUGAUGUGGAUGGCUCUCCCAGGAGCUUAUACUCCCGCCAGCAUAGCUGUCCGGGUCACUUAGGUGUUCAAAUUUCCUCUCCGCUAUAUGAUGGUAGUCUUCGGGGAUGAUUAAUCUAACUGCAUUUUAUAAUAUGCUUGUCAUUGGUACGGUUACCUCGAACUCUUAACAAAAUUUUAGCGGCAGCCAAUUACCUAAUCCUUCAAUUGCCGAUGCAUAUCUUCAUGCCAUCAUUAAAAAAUUACUCCAUUAUAUUUUCAGUACAGAAUAGAAACUAAAAUCUCCACACCGGAAAUUGAUGCAACACAAAGGAUAUUUCUUGUGUAAGGUUGCCUACUCAAAGUUAACGUCAGAAAUGUUCGAAACCUCCCAGCUGUUCAGGAAAUUCCAGUCUCCUGUGGAACCCGAAGUUUCAUUAUCGUAUUCACACGAGCCCUCCCAAUGGGCUCAAUCCUGAACUAGCUGAAACCAAUCUGAGCCCUCACUUUUUAACUUUUAUGGUAAAUUUCAAGAGUAUCUACAUUCAGGUCUUCGAACUUUUCUGUAAACUUUAAAUUCUCCGAAUAAAAUAUGUGCAUUCAAUUCUCCCAUGCGUACUACACCUACCUCCCAUCCAUAAACAGUAUUUUCUUGACUUGAUGGCUACAAUAACAUUCAGUGAGCAGUACUGUUGAGCUUUCCAUUAUGUAGUUUACUCAGACCUCCUGGUAAUUGCCCUGUUUUGCGUCUAAACAUUUCCCUGAGCAUCCUCAAGUUUUCUCCUAAGUAGAACGACAAUGAUUUACCUUCAUACACGGAAACUGAUAAUGUUACAUGUGUGUAUAUUUUAUAUUUACAUUUACAGAUGAGAGUUGGGAAAACCAGAAACUUUGAAAUAAAUGGUAAUAAGCUACACAAUACUUAAUUCACUUCUGAUUUCCGCUGACUAUGAUCGGAGCACGGAAAUUUAUAAUAUUGGAACCAAUAAUUGACCAUAAUUAAUAAAUACCAGAACAAUAGUUAAUUCAUAGAAGAUUGUAAAAUUAUAUAGUGUGCGGUGACAGGCGUGAUUCGCAGAAGGAAUUAUGUAUGAUAUUCUAACAUUAAUGAUUUUCAAAUAAUAGGAUAAUAAUAAGUGCCUUAUUUAAUAUACACUGAAUAAAUAAAAUUGUGAUAAACUUUUCUCUUGUAAUAAACAAUAUUAAUAUUCACGUU
This is a long non-coding RNA of Cryptotermes secundus, 2675 nucleotides long. RefSeq lists it as uncharacterized. NCBI's taxonomy places the organism in Eukaryota, Metazoa, Arthropoda, Insecta, Blattodea, Kalotermitidae. The transcript is spliced from 2 exons. The record is from RefSeq and is a predicted model, not a curated record.